AUUGAACGCUGGCGGCAUGCCUUACACAUGCAAGUCGAGCGCGAAAGGGGGCAACCCCGAGUAGAGCGGCGGACGGGUGAGUAACGCAUCGGAACGUGCCCAGUAGUGGGGGACAACCUCGAGAAAUCGAGGCUAAUACCGCAUACGACCCACGGGUGAAAGCGGGGACCGCAAGGCCUCGCGCUAUUGGAGCGGCCGAUGUCCGAUUAGCUAGUUGGCGGGGUAAGAGCCCACCAAGGCGACGAUCGGUAGCUGGUCUGAGAGGACGACCAGCCACACUGGGACUGAGACACGGCCCAGACUCCUACGGGAGGCAGCAGUGGGGAAUUUUGGACAAUGGGGGCAACCCUGAUCCAGCCAUGCCGCGUGCGGGAAGAAGGCCUU
Molecule: ribosomal RNA, 384 nt
Filed under: uncultured bacterium
Lineage: Bacteria
Description: bacterial SSU rRNA
Rfam family: Bacterial small subunit ribosomal RNA
Source: RNAcentral